GAUGAACGCUAGCGAUAGGCCUAACACACGCAAGUCGAGGGGCAGCACGGGAGCAAUCCUGGUGGCGACCGGCGCACGGGUGAGUAACACGUAUGCAACCUACCCAUAACUGUGGGAUAGCCCGUCGAAAGACGGAUUAAUACCGCAUAAAACAGGGGCUCCACAUGGAGAUAUUUGUUAAAGAUUUAUUGGUUAUGGAUGGGCAUGCGCAGGAUUAGGUAGUUGGUGAAGGUAACGGCUCACCAAGCCAUCGAUCCUUAGGGGAACUGAGAGGUUAAUCCCCCACACUGGUACUGAGACACGGACCAGACUCCUACGGGAGGCAGCAGUGAGGAAUAUUGGUCAAUGGACGAGAGUCUGAACCAGCCAAAUCGCGUGAAGGAAGACGGUAUUAUGUAUUGUAAACUUCUUUUAUCAGGGAAUAAAGUGCGGCACGUGUGCUGUUUUGUAUGUACCUGAUGAAUAAG
RNAcentral lists this ribosomal RNA (467 nucleotides) under uncultured Bacteroidales bacterium. RNAcentral describes it as "bacterial SSU rRNA". It matches the Rfam family "Bacterial small subunit ribosomal RNA", at positions 28 to 490 of the family's 1533-position model. Lineage: Bacteria; Pseudomonadati; Bacteroidota; Bacteroidia; Bacteroidales. The record is from RNAcentral.